This is a non-coding RNA of Phrynosoma platyrhinos (Desert horned lizard), 72 nucleotides long. The record is from the annotation of a GenBank genome assembly. NCBI's taxonomy places the organism in Eukaryota, Metazoa, Chordata, Lepidosauria, Squamata, Phrynosomatidae.
AACAGUGUGGUGUAGUGGUUUGAGCACUAGACUAUGAUUCUGAUGACCAGGGUUCAAACCCUUGUUCAGCCA